AUUCUUUUUAUUUAACGCUCUAUUAAAAUUUUAGGGUAAAGGCCUAUUGCUUUAAGGGGGAUA
This 63-nucleotide transfer RNA is filed under the name Porites rus. Its description in RNAcentral is "tRNA-Tyr". The record is from RNAcentral. Lineage: Eukaryota; Metazoa; Cnidaria; Anthozoa; Scleractinia; Poritidae.